CGAGCCACUUCAUAAUUGUGUUAGCUUGACCAAUUGACCACCGGCAACAUAAACACCAGCAGCAUGGUUUUAGUGGCGCAGCCACCGCCACCACUGGCGGCAAAGUGAGUCAUGUUGUUGUUUUUGGGCUCCAAUAACGCCCUCCCCCACGGCCUUGUCCACACGCUACACCAUAAAAAUAUAAAGCCCCUCAAAAGCACCAAAAUCAAAACCAAUAAAAGUCAUUCCAUUCGAGAUUCUUGUUUGCACCUUGUUACAGUCAACACAACAUGUUAUGCAAGAAUUUCUAUGUCUCUGUAUGAGAAUGAGAUACUCCACAUAAAUCAACACCAUUCUUGUUUAUCUUUUCGGAUCCACACACAGCAGAGAGGCGGAUAAUAGAUGAAUAAGGGAAAUGGAGGGAGCAGAGAAAGAGUUGGAGAGGAGAAGCAAGUUCUUGAACAGUUUAAUCGAGAAGAAAAAGAAGGCAGUUGAGCAAAAACAACAGCAUGAUCGGAUGAACGUGCGCGUGAGGGCCUCGGAUAUGCCUUUGUCUCUGCAGAAUCACGCCUUCAUGACUGCUAGAAACAUUCUUGACUCCAUGCCCACUUCUUCCAAGCUUGACAGCAAACGCCUUGCUCUUUCACUCAAAAAGGAGUUCGACUCAACAUAUGGUCCGGCUUGGCAUUGCAUUGUGGGAACCAGCUUCGGAUCAUAUGUGACACAUUCACUGGGAGGGUUCUUGUAUUUCUCAAUAGAUAAGAUGAGAAAGAAGAGUCACAGUCAGCACCAAAUGAAGCUCUUUUCUUUUUCUUGGCUUAUCUUCCUCUCUUUGAACUUUUAGCCAUGACUCGAGUCUGCAAAACACUGAGAGAAGCCAUAAACAAUGACAUACUCCCCUGGCUGAAACUCGUCGUGGAUCGGCCUAUCAAUUGCCGUCUCACUGACGAUAUCCUCAUGGAAGUUGCUUCCAAAGCAGAAGGUAGGCUGCAAGUUUUGGUUCUGAUCAACUGUGUGAAGAUUACUGAUGAUGGGCUGUUGAGGGUUAUUGCACAGAAUCCUCAUAUCAGCCAGCUUCAUGUACCAGGCUGCACAAGCUUAUCACCAGGAGGAGUCAUUAGAGCGCUGAAGCUUCUAACCAAGAACAGCCACAGAAUCAAGAGCCUCAAGAUCAGCGGAAUCUAUGGUGUUCAGAAGGAAGACCUUGAGAUGAUUCAUAAUCUGAUCAAUCACAAACAAACACAACACAAGAGAAACAUUAUCUUUUGUCACGAGUACAAGAAAUUCUCGACCCUAAAACACAUAGACACCAACUGUCCAGUUGAUCUUGAUGUAUGUCCAAAGUGCAACGAGGUAAGAAUGGUUUUCGACUGCCCUAAAGUUGACUGUAAGAAGCGACAAGGGAGCCAGUGUAGGGGGUGUGAAUAUUGUGUUACGAGAUGUGUAGAGUGUGGCAUAUGCAUAACAGAGAGUCAAGAACUGGAAGAGGUUUCCUGCUCAGAAACUUUGUGUUCGGAUUGUUGGAUAAAGCUGCCAAAAUGCAACUUUUGUAAUAAGCCAUACUGUAGCCAGCAUGCGGAUCAGCAGCACAGGGUUUCAGGGUCUACAGGAUUUGUAUGUGCUGCUUGCCAUUCAAAAUACUAUUGAGAGCUUUGUAGUCAUUUCUGUAAAUUUCUAAAUUACACUAACACCCCUUUAGUA
Molecule: non-coding RNA, 1680 nt
Organism: Sesamum indicum (sesame)
Lineage: Eukaryota; Viridiplantae; Streptophyta; Magnoliopsida; Lamiales; Pedaliaceae
Source: RefSeq, a predicted model, not a curated record